This 1056-nucleotide ribosomal RNA is filed under the name Triticum aestivum (bread wheat). RNAcentral's name for it is "partial small subunit ribosomal RNA". The record is from RNAcentral. Lineage: Eukaryota; Viridiplantae; Streptophyta; Magnoliopsida; Poales; Poaceae.
AUGCCGGGGAUGGAGGAAGCAGAGGACUACGCGUCGUGCGCCUUCUCGCUCACUUGCCCCGAAGACGGCGCCGAGCUCGGGGACGGCGUCGUGGACGACGGCGACCUCUUCUUGUUCUACGCCGGCGGCGGCGCCGCCGACGAUGAGGACGGCGACAAUGAGUACGUGGAGCAGCUGGUCUCCAAGGAGGCCAGCUUCUGCUCCUCCUCUGACUCGGGCGACGCCGACUGCUCGUCGGCCGCCUCCGAGGACUGGUUCCUGCAGGCGCGCCUCGCCGCCGUCAAAUGGAUCCUUGAAACGCGGGGCUGCUUCGGGUUCGGCCACCGCACGGCGUACCUGGCCAUCGCCUACUUCGACCGCUUCUUCCUCCGGCGACGCGUCGAUAGGGCGGCCAUGCCGUGGGCGGCGCGGCUCCUGUCCGUGGCCUGCGUCUCCGUGGCGGCCAAGAUGGAGGAGUACUGCGCGCCGGCGCUGUCGGAGCUCGACGCCGGCGGCGGCUACGAGUUCUGCUCCGCCUCCGUCCGCCGGAUGGAGCUGCUCGUCCUGUCCACGCUCGGCUGGCGCAUGGCCGCCGUUACGCCCUUCGACUACCUCCCCUGCUUCUCCUCCCGUCUCGACCGGCACGACGGCCGCGGCGGCGGCGGGCAUGACCCCGCCCGCGUCGCCCUCAAGUCCAUCGGCUUCAUCUUUGCCACAGCCGAAGCCGGCAGUGUGCUGGAUUACAGGCCAUCUACUGUGGCUGCAGCUGCAAUCCUGGCUGCAUCCUAUGGAGCUCUACUGACCAAAGAAGCACUGGAGUCCAAGAUGGACAAUCUAUCUCCAUCAUGCCCCAUUGAGAAGGAGCAUGUACAUGCCUGCUACAGCAUGAUGGUUGGCGACUUGAGAAACAGAAAGAGCAAUGGCAAGAGAUCAUUGCCAUGUUCAGACUCCAAUGAAGUUGCCACCAGUACAUAUGAUUCUGUUCUUGUUGAUGAUGUUGCCGACACCGCCGCCUUCAUGGCCGCGGUGUCGGAGAUGAACAAGCGGAUCAGACUGGAGCCGCCGGGAAUCCAUUGA